GCGGGGCCGGGGCGGGGGGCGCGCCGUCCGCGAGUGGCCGUCGGGCGCGAGCUGCAGUGGAGGAGGCGGGGAGAUGGCCGCACCCAGCUCGGCGCGGGGAGGGGAUGCCGCAGUACCUUUAUGGGAGUUCUCUGCUGCCUCCUGUCUUCCAAGGCCCGCCCAGGGCCCAGAAGAAUCCCUCCCCUCUCCUGCGGUCUCGUCAUCGCCUCCAUGUCUAGUCGCUUCUGGUUUAUGGGCGGGAUUGUGUGCCACGGCUUCAGGGCGAACGUGGGCCUGGGCGUUGUCCUGCUAAGAAACUGAGCAGGUGUAGGGUUGGACGGGCGGGCCCAAUUUCUGUAGCUUCCCACGGACCGGCGUUGGUGUCGGGAGGUGCAGCCUGGGCGGUCGCCCGCGGUUAAUUUCAUGCAGUGAGACUGCAGGUUAUGACUGAAGAUGAUCUUGAUGUUUUUCCUGGAAGUGGAGGGGAGGUAGCGUUGUCCCUUGAUCACCUGAGUCUAGCGCUGACCCCGUUUCAGACGCUGGCUGCGCCACCAGCGGAUCGCAUUGUCAGAUCUUAAUUGUGAAAUUGUAGCCUUGGCUUGGCAACCCGCGCUCCCCCUCCCUCCACCUUUGAUCCCAUUCCCAUGUGCCGUGCUUGCUGCUCGUCCAGCCUGAGACUUAGUGCUGGCUUUCUUCUCCCCGACGUCGGGUAGCCUGGUGAGUCAUGGGACCGGACAGAUGGGCCCCACCCUCAGAUGCAGCCUGCCUGGUGCACUCGGGUGACUGUUUCCUUGGGUUUGGGCUUACCGUCUCCGCCCGGAGCCCGCCCCAGGCUUCCUCCGCCCGAUGACCUUGACUGCAUUCUGGUGAAUGUGUGGAGCACGGAGUUGCACAUCCUCUUCCCCACUGGGAUUCUUCGGGCCAUCCUGUAUUGCUGUUAGCCGGCGUUCUGUGUGUUCGCCUCCAGUCGUGAGGUGGGAGUCACUGCUGCUGUGUCCUGGUCGGGGUGCCGGAGGCCCCUCGGGAGGCUGGCCUCAACUUUGUACCGGCUUCGAGGUUACUUGAGUGGGACGACACUUGACUGGCUGUGUCUUUGUUGCCUAAGCACAAGGUGGUCUUCGAGGUCAAGACUUUCCAUAAUACCAAGAUAUUUGCCUUUUAUCAUUUAUUCCUAAAAAGUGUGCACUGAGGCUACAAACUGUAAUCAUGUUAAUGAAUAGUACUAUGAACUGUACAAGUUAUUUUAAAAUCCUGUAGUUUUCCUUCUCAAACAUAAGUACUUCUGCAGUGUUUUAUGUAUUUUCUCCCAAAUUUCCAAAUAUUAUUAAAGUUUUAGUAUUUGGGAACCUUA
Molecule: long non-coding RNA, 1330 nt
Organism: Oryctolagus cuniculus (rabbit)
Lineage: Eukaryota; Metazoa; Chordata; Mammalia; Lagomorpha; Leporidae
Source: RefSeq, a predicted model, not a curated record